CGUUUAAAACUGCCGCUAUAGAAUACAUCGACUGCCACUACAAAUUGUGGCACGAAUGAGGGAUUUUUUCUCCUCUUUUUCCCUUUUUCUCAUUCUCUUCCCGCUCUUGUGAUCUCUCUCACAGUCGACAUCGACCUCUCACCACUGAACAAAAUCCAAGGACACCUAUUAAUCUCUUUUUCUCUCUCUCUCUCUCUCCCCUUUUCUCAUUCUCUACUCGCUCUCUCUCAGUCUCUCUCUCGCGUCGUUGUCGACCUCUCACCACCGGAUGACAUCCAAGAACACUGACAUCAAUAAUCUCUCUCUCGCGCGAUCUCUCUUUCUCACGGUUGACAUCGACCUCUCACCACCGGAUAACAUCCUAGGACACCAACAUCACUAGGUAAACUCCAAAGGUUUAGAAGGAAUAACCGGCUUUGGGCGUACAAGAUGCGACCACGGAGAUUCCAGUGAGCAAGGAUACACUACAAAAAGUUACUCCAAAAUUGGUGACAUUGGGGAAAGCACUUCAAUUAUCAUACCUGUAGCCAACUCGCUUCAAUAUUAAUGAGUUGUUUGUCUCUCGACCAGGCAGAGAAACACAUUGCAAUAAUCUCUCUAUCCAUGUUUGUUCGUUUGAUAACAGAAGUGGGAUGGGUCCCUCUCCCUCCUCUCUCUCUCUCCUCUCUCUCUUUCUGUCUUUCUCAGAGUGAAGAGUGAACAGACCAGAAAAACAUGCCUGGUGACAUGGCUUUUAUUUAGUACUUAAUGCAUAUAGACUGCUAAAAGUCUGCAACUUACAUUG
Molecule: long non-coding RNA, 784 nt
Organism: Nelumbo nucifera (sacred lotus)
Lineage: Eukaryota; Viridiplantae; Streptophyta; Magnoliopsida; Proteales; Nelumbonaceae
Source: RefSeq, a predicted model, not a curated record